This 253-nucleotide ribosomal RNA is filed under the name uncultured bacterium. RNAcentral's name for it is "partial 16S ribosomal RNA". It matches the Rfam family "Bacterial small subunit ribosomal RNA", at positions 524 to 776 of the family's 1533-position model. The record is from RNAcentral.
GACGGAGGGUGCAAGCGUUGUUCGGAAUCAUUGGGCGUAAAGGGCGCGCAGGCGGCCUCCCAUGUCCGGUGUGAAAGCCCGGGGCUCAAGUCCGGAAGCGCACGGGAAACUGGGUGGCUUGAGUCCGAGAGGGGACCGUGGAAUUUCUGGUGUAGGGGUGAAAUCCGUAGAGAUCAGAAGGAACACCGGAGGUGAAAACGACGGUCUGGAUCGGGACUGACGCUGAGGCGCGAAAGCGCGGGUAGCGAACAGG